GACGAACGCUGGCGGCGUGCUUAACACAUGCAAGUCGAGCGGUAAGGCCCUUUCGGGGGUACGACGAGCGGCGAACGGGUGAGUAACACGUGGGUGACCUGCCCUCAGCUCUGGGAUAAGCCUGGGAAACGUAGGGUCGUAAUACCGGAUAUGACUCCAUGACGCAUGUUGUGGGGUGGAAAGCCUUGUGCGGCUGAGGAUGGGCCCGCGGCCUAUCAGCUUGUUGGUGGGGGAUGGCCUACCAAGGCGACGACGGGUAGCCGGCCUGAGAGGGCGACCGGCCACACUGGGACUGAGACACGGCCCAGACUCCUACGGGAGGCAGCAGUGGGGAAUCUUGCGCAAUGGGCGAAAGCCUGACGCAGCGACGCCGCGUGAGGGAUGACGGCCU
Molecule: ribosomal RNA, 391 nt
Filed under: uncultured bacterium
Lineage: Bacteria
Description: bacterial SSU rRNA
Rfam family: Bacterial small subunit ribosomal RNA
Source: RNAcentral